UACGUAGGGGGCGAGCGUUGUCCGGAAUUAUUGGGCGUAAAGGGUACGCAGGCGGCCAUGUAAGUCAGAUGUGAAAGACAUAGGCUUAACUUAUGUAAGCAUUUGAAACUGCGUGGCUUGAGUUAAGGAGAGGAAAGUGGAAUUCCUAGUGUAGCGGUGAAAUGCGUAGAUAUUAGGAAGAAUAUCAGUGGCGAAGGCGACUUUCUGGACUUAUACUGACGCUGAGGUACGAAAGCGUGGGGAGCAAACAGGAUUAGAUACCCUGGUAGUCCACGCCGUAAACGAUGAGUGCUAGGUGUCGGGGGUCAAACCUCGGUGCCGCCGUUAACACAUUAAGCACUCCGCCUGGGGAGUACGUACGCAAGUAUGAA
This 371-nucleotide ribosomal RNA is filed under the name uncultured bacterium. RNAcentral describes it as "bacterial SSU rRNA". It matches the Rfam family "Bacterial small subunit ribosomal RNA", at positions 524 to 898 of the family's 1533-position model. The record is from RNAcentral.